Molecule: ribosomal RNA, 505 nt
Filed under: uncultured bacterium
Lineage: Bacteria
Description: partial 16S ribosomal RNA
Rfam family: Bacterial small subunit ribosomal RNA
Source: RNAcentral
GACGAACGCUGGCGGCAUGCCUAGUACAUGCAAGUCGAGCGAACAGAUGAAGUGCUUGCUCUGUGGGUGGCGAGUGGCGGACGGGCGAGGAAUACGUGGGAAUCUGCCCAGUCGUGGGGGAUAACGUAGGGAAACUUACGCUAAUACCGCAUGCGCCCUUUGGGGGAAAGCCGGGGAUCUUCGGACCUGGCGCGAUUGGAUGAGCCCACGUCGGAUUAGCUAGUUGGAGGGGUAAAGGCCCACCAAGGCGACGAUCCGUAGCUGGUCUGAGGGGAUGAUCAGCCACACUGGAACUGAGACACGGUCCAGACUCCUACGGGAGGCAGCAGUAGGGAAUAUUGGACAAUGGGCGCAAGCCUGAUCCAGCCAUGCCGCGUGAGUGAAGAAGGCCCUCGGGUUGUAAAGCUCUUUUGUUGGGGAAGAAAAGCCUUGGGUUAAUACCCUGAGGUUCUGACGGUACCCAAAGAAUAAGCACCGGCUAACUUCGUGCCAGCAGCCGCCGUAA